Molecule: ribosomal RNA, 267 nt
Filed under: Triatoma rubrovaria
Lineage: Eukaryota; Metazoa; Arthropoda; Insecta; Hemiptera; Reduviidae
Description: partial 16S ribosomal RNA
Source: RNAcentral
GAAUGGCCGCAGUAUUUUAACUGUGCUAAGGUAGCAUAAUCAUUUGUCUUUUAAUUGAGGGCUGGAAUGAAGGGUUGGACGAGGUAUUAGCUUUCUUUAAUUUAGUUAGGAGAAUUUAAUUUUUGAGUUAAAAAGCUUAAAUUUAUUUGUGGGACGAGAAGACCCUAUAGAUCUUUAUAGUUUAAUAUUUUAGUAAUUUAGGGAUUUAUGUAUUUUAAGUAGAAGAACUAUUUUGUUGGGGUGACUGUAGAAUUUGAAUAACUUCUA